This is a long non-coding RNA of Astatotilapia calliptera (eastern happy), 468 nucleotides long. The record is from Ensembl. NCBI's taxonomy places the organism in Eukaryota, Metazoa, Chordata, Actinopteri, Cichliformes, Cichlidae.
GUGGAGAGACACUUACAAAAAGGCCCAUGUGUAUGAGGAUGGCUCUAAUAAACCAGAAAAACAAGAUCAGGAUUACAGAGGCCGGACAGAGGUGAAUGAAGACCUGCUGACAACUGGAGACCUCAGUUUGACCCUGCAAUACCCCACAGAGAGGGACACACAAGUCUACACCUGCACCGUCUACAGCAAGGAGGGAAAAAUCAUGUUCAAGAAGGCAGUUAAUCUGAAAGUCAAUGUCUGUCAGGUGGAGGUGGAGGAGGGGAUGGAGUCUGUUUGUCUGCCAUUUAAAACUACAAAAAACCUGCCUGAAGAUGUUGUAGUUGCGUGGCAAUCUGAUGAAAUGAUGGUCCACGUGUAUGAGAACGGCUCUGACAAGCUUGAAGAACAGGACGAGGUUUACAGAGACCGAACGAAGAUGAAUGAAGACCUGCUGAAAACUGGAGACCUCAGUCUGACCCUGAAACACCC